AGGAUGAACGCUGGCGGAGUGCCUAACACAUGCAAGUCGAGCGGCAGCACGAAGAAUUUAUUCUUUGGUGGCGAGCGGCGGACGGCUGAGUAACGCGUGGGAACAUACCCCAAAGUGAGGGAUAAGCAUCGGAAACGGUGUCUAAUACCGCAUAUGAUCUUCGGAUUAAAGGAUUUAUCCGCUUUGGGAAUGGCCUGCGUACGAUUAGAUAGUUGGUGAGGUAAAGGCUCACCAAGUCUACGAUCGUUAACUGGUUUGAGAGGAUGAUCAGUCAGACUGGAACUGAGACACGGUCCAGACUCCUAGGGAGGCAGCAGUGAGGAAUCUUACACAAUGGACAAAGUCUGAUGGAGCAACUCCGCGUGCGAGGAUGGAAGGCCCGUCGGUCGUAAACGUGACUUUUAUGAGUAGAAGUAAUAGUAGAACGUAACU
RNAcentral lists this ribosomal RNA (432 nucleotides) under uncultured soil bacterium. RNAcentral describes it as "bacterial SSU rRNA". It matches the Rfam family "Bacterial small subunit ribosomal RNA", at positions 26 to 465 of the family's 1533-position model. The record is from RNAcentral.